RNAcentral lists this small nucleolar RNA (105 nucleotides) under Arabidopsis thaliana (thale cress). RNAcentral's name for it is "Snr38b snoRNA". The stretch from base 7 to 100 matches the Rfam family "Small nucleolar RNA R38". Rfam says of the family: snoR38 is a C/D box small nucleolar RNA conserved across yeast, human, Arabidopsis and rice. The record is from RNAcentral. Lineage: Eukaryota; Viridiplantae; Streptophyta; Magnoliopsida; Brassicales; Brassicaceae.
UUGUGAUGUUUUGGAUGAUGAGAAACAAAAAUCAAAAUACAGUUAUCCCUGGCUUAGGGUUUAAAGCCCGUUGCUGAGUCUUUUGUAAUCUGACACACAUCACAA